This 559-nucleotide ribosomal RNA is filed under the name uncultured bacterium. RNAcentral's name for it is "partial 16S ribosomal RNA". It matches the Rfam family "Bacterial small subunit ribosomal RNA", at positions 355 to 1375 of the family's 1533-position model. The record is from RNAcentral.
UGGGGAAUAUUGGACAAUGGGCGCAAGCCUGAUCCAGCCAUGCCGCGUGAGUGAUGAAGGCCUUAGGGUUGUAAAGCUCUUUCGGCGGGGACGAUAAUGACGGUACCCGCAGAAGAAGCCCCGGCUAACUUCGUGCCAGCAGCCGCGGUAAUACGAAGGGGGCUAGCGUUGCUCGGAAUCACUGGGCGUAAAGGGCGCGUAGGCGGACAUUUAAGUCGGGGUGAAAGCCCAGGGCUCAACCCUGGAAUUGCCUCCGAUACUGGGUGUCUCGAGACCGGAAGAGGUGAGUGGAACUGCGAGUGUAGAGGUGAAAUUCGUAGAUAUUCGCAAGAACACCAGUGGCGAAGGCGGCUCACUGGUCCGGUUCUGACGCUGAGGCGCGAAAGCGUGGGGAGCAAACAGGAUUAGAUACCCUGGUAGUCCACGCCGUAAACGAUGGAUGCUAGCCGUUGGCAGGCUUGCCUGUCAGUGGCGCAGCUAACGCUUUAAGCAUCCCGCCUGGGGAGUACGGCCGCAAGGUUAAAACUCAAAUGAAUUGACGGGGUCAUAGCUGUUUCCU